CCUACGGGAGGCAGCAGUGGGGAAUAUUGCACAAUGGGGGAAACCCUGAUGCAGCGACGCCGCGUGAGUGAAGAAGUAUUUCGGUACGUAAAGCUCUAUCAGCAGGGAAGAAAAUGACGGUACCUGACUAAGAAGCCCCGGCUAACUACGUGCCAGCAGCCGCGGUAAUACGUAGGGGGCAAGCGUUAUCCGGAUUUACUGGGUGUAAAGGGAGCGUAGACGGCAGCGCAAGUCUGGAGUGAAAUCCCAUGGCUUAACCAUGGAACUGCUUUGUAAACUGUGCAGCUAGAGUGCAGGAGAGGUAAGCGGAAUUCCUGGUGUAGCGGUGAAAUGCGUAGAUAUUAGGAGGAACACCAGUGGCGAAGGCGGCUUACUGGACUGUAACUGACGUUGAGGCUCGAAAGCGUGGGGAGCAAACAGGAUUAGAUACCCCAGUAGUC
This 440-nucleotide ribosomal RNA is filed under the name uncultured bacterium. RNAcentral's name for it is "partial 16S ribosomal RNA". It matches the Rfam family "Bacterial small subunit ribosomal RNA", at positions 338 to 795 of the family's 1533-position model. The record is from RNAcentral.